RNAcentral lists this ribosomal RNA (253 nucleotides) under uncultured bacterium. RNAcentral's name for it is "partial 16S ribosomal RNA". It matches the Rfam family "Bacterial small subunit ribosomal RNA", at positions 524 to 776 of the family's 1533-position model. The record is from RNAcentral.
UACGUAGGCAGCGAGCGUUGUUCGGAGUUACUGGGCGUAAAGGGCGAGUAGGUGGCCAUCUAAGUCAGACGUGAAAUCCCCCGGCUUAACCUGGGAACUGCGUCUGAUACUGGACGGCUUGAGUAUGGGAGAGGAACGUAGAAUUCCAGGUGUAGCGGUGAAAUGCGUAGAUAUCUGGAGGAAUACCGGUGGCGAAGGCGGGUCUCUGGGCAAUUCCUGACGCUGAGGCGCGAAAGCGUGGGGAGCAAACGGG